This 999-nucleotide ribosomal RNA is filed under the name Triticum aestivum (bread wheat). RNAcentral's name for it is "partial small subunit ribosomal RNA". Lineage: Eukaryota; Viridiplantae; Streptophyta; Magnoliopsida; Poales; Poaceae. The record is from RNAcentral.
AUGACGGCCACAAACGCCUGUAUUUGCUGCGGCUGCGGCGCUUGGACCUCUCCAAGAUGGACUUUUUUCACCGGACAGCAGAAGAGGCGGCUGAACAUGGCAACACUGACGCCCGCCAAGGCCCGUGCCACCAACAGGCGAAGGACCUGCAACACCCAAGAUCCGGCGACGGUGGAGGCAGCGGCGCCCAAGAUCGUUCCGCCAAAACCCGAGCUGCUCAUGGGGCCGCCGCAAAUCUCCCCCUGCCUGGACUCCCGUCGCUUCGUCCAUUUCUUCCCCACCGCCUCGGAGAGCAAGGUCGUCUUGGGCGACCGCGGGAACCGCAUGUUACGCUUCAACAUCGCCAAUAGCUCCAGCUACGUCGACACCAUGCCAUGCCUCCACGGGGUCAAGGAGUUGCCGAUGGCCAUCUCCGUCCCUCCGACGGACUUACACCGCCCUGACGGCGAUGACACGGGCGACCUCUACAUCAUCGACGGCCUCCUCCAUCCGGACAAGGCGGAGGCGCGGCCGCAGUUCGAGGCCCUGGUGUGGAGGGGGUUCCGGCCAUCCGCCUUAUCUAGCAGGUUCUGGCACUGCGACAUCCUCCCGCUGCCGCCGUGGAUCAGCCACCACGAGCACGCCAUGGUCUUCGGCCACGCCCUCGUCGGCGACAGCAUCUGCUUCUCCAUCUGCGGCGCCGAGGGUGCCGGCACCUACUGCUUCCACAUCGCGACUCGUGAGUGGAGCAAAGCUGGGGACUGGCUCAUGCCCUUCAAUGGCAAGGCGGAUUACGUCCCUGAGCUUGGACUCUGGUUUGGCGUCUCAAACAACCUCCCCUGCGCUGCCGACCUCUCGGGCGUCGUUAGAGGGGAGGAGCUGUCGCCGGACAAGAUGCGGAUCUGGGCGCGUGAUGACCUGCCGGAGGAGUGGCAGCCAAAGAGCUUGCACAAUCCCUGUGUUGUCAGCCUCGGUUCCGGCAGGUUCAUCGUCGAGUCGUCGACUUCUUGGAUGCCAUGA